GCGGCGGACGGGUGAGUAACACGUGGGCAACCUGCCCUGCAGACUGGGAUAACUUCGGGAAACCGGAGCUAAUACCGGAUAACACCGAAAACCGCAUGGUUUUCGGUUGAAAGGCGGCUUUUAGCUGUCACUUGCAGGAUGGGCCCGCGGCGCAUUAGCUAGUUGGUGAGGUAACGGCUCACCAAGGCGACGAUGCGUAGCCGACCUGAGAGGGUGACCGGCCACACUGGGACUGAGACACGGCCCAGACUCCUACGGGAGGCAGCAGUAGGGAAUCUUCCGCAAUGGACGAAAGUCUGACGGAGCAACGCCGCGUGAGCGAAGAAGGUCUUCGGAUCGUAAAGCUCUGUUGUCAGGGAAGAACAAGUACCGUUCGAACAGGGCGGUACCGUGACGGUACCUGACGAGGAAGCCACGGCUAACUACGUGCCAGCAGCCGCGGUAAUAC
Molecule: ribosomal RNA, 448 nt
Filed under: Aeribacillus sp. E07C003
Lineage: Bacteria; Bacillati; Bacillota; Bacilli; Caryophanales; Bacillaceae
Description: bacterial SSU rRNA
Rfam family: Bacterial small subunit ribosomal RNA
Source: RNAcentral